AUUGAACGCUGGCGGCAUGCCUUACACAUGCAAGUCGAACGGUAACGCGGGGGCAACCCUGGCGACGAGUGGCGAACGGGUGAGUAAUACAUCGGAACGUACCCAGUAGUGGGGGAUAGCUCGGCGAAAGCCGGAUUAAUACCGCAUACGACCUACGGGUGAAAGCGGGGGAUCGAAAGACCUCGCGCUAUUGGAGCGGCCGAUGUCGGAUUAGCUAGUUGGUGAGGUAAAGGCUCACCAAGGCUACGAUCCGUAGCUGGUCUGAGAGGACGACCAGCCACACUGGGACUGAGACACGGCCCAGACUCCUACGGGAGGCAGCAGUGGGGAAUUUUGGACAAUGGGCGAAAGCCUGAUCCAGCCAUGCCGCGUGUGUGAAGAAGGCCUU
RNAcentral lists this ribosomal RNA (388 nucleotides) under uncultured bacterium. RNAcentral's name for it is "bacterial SSU rRNA". It matches the Rfam family "Bacterial small subunit ribosomal RNA", at positions 29 to 418 of the family's 1533-position model. The record is from RNAcentral.